RNAcentral lists this ribosomal RNA (769 nucleotides) under uncultured bacterium. RNAcentral describes it as "bacterial SSU rRNA". It matches the Rfam family "Bacterial small subunit ribosomal RNA", at positions 8 to 796 of the family's 1533-position model. The record is from RNAcentral.
AGAGUUUGAUCCUGGCUCAGGACGAACGCUGGCGGCGUGCUUAACACAUGCAAGUCGAGCGGAAAGGCCCUUCGGGGUACUCGAGCGGCGAACGGGUGAGUAACACGUGAGUAACCUGCCCCUAGCUCUGGGAUAGCUCCGGGAAACCGGGAUUAAUACCAGAUAUGACCACUCUAGACAUCUUCUGUGGUGGAAAGGAUUCCGGCUAGGGAUGGGCUCGCGGCCUAUCAGCUUGUUGGUGGGGUAACGGCCCACCAAGGCGACGACGGGUAGCCGGCCUGAGAGGGCGACCGGCCACACUGGACUGAGACACGGCCCAGACUCCUACGGGAGGCAGCAGUGGGGAAUAUUGCGCAAUGGGCGAAAGCCUGACGCAGCGACGCCGCGUGGGGGAUGAAGGCCUUCGGGUUGUAAACCCCUUUCAGCAGGGACGAAGCGAAAGUGACGGUACCUGCAGAAGAAGCGCCGGCUAACUACGUGCCAGCAGCCGCGGUAACACGUAGGGCGCAAGCGUUGUCCGGAAUUAUUGGGCGUAAAGAGCUCGUAGGCGGUCUGUUGCGUCCGCUGUGAAAACUCGGGGCUUAACCCCGAGCCUGCAGUGGAUACGGGCAGACUAGAGGUAGGUAGGGGAGAAUGGAAUUCCCGGUGUAGCGGUGAAAUGCGCAGAUAUCGGGAGGAACACCGGUGGCGAAGGCGGUUCUCUGGGCCUUACCUGACGCUGAGGAGCGAAAGCGUGGGGAGCGAACAGGAUUAGAUACCCCCGUAGUCC